Molecule: ribosomal RNA, 327 nt
Filed under: uncultured eukaryote
Lineage: Eukaryota
Description: partial 18S ribosomal RNA
Rfam family: Eukaryotic small subunit ribosomal RNA
Source: RNAcentral
CCCUUAGAUGUUCUGGGCCGCACACGCGCUACACUGAAGGAGGCAGCGUGUACUCCUGGAUCCAAAGAUUUGGGUAACCCGCGAAUCUCCUUCGUGCUAGGGAUUGAGGUUUGCAAUUAUCCUUCAUGAACGAGGAAUUCCCAGUAAGUGCAAGUCAUAAGCUUGCGCUGACUACGUCCCUGCCCUUUGUACACACCGCCCGUCGCUACUACCGAUUGAAUGAUUUAGUGAGGACUUCGGACUGGGACCGAUGCGGCUUUCGGGCUGCGUCGGUAUUCUGGAAAGAUGUCCAAACUGUAUCAUUUAGAGGAAGUAAAAGUCGUAACA